GAUGAAGAACGUAGCGAAACGCGAAAGGUAAUGCGAAUUGCAGAAUUCAGUGAAUCAUCGAAUCUUUGAACGCACAUUGCGCCCCCUGGUAUUCCGGGGGGCAUGCCUGUUCGAGCGUCAUUUCAACCCUCAAGCUCUGCUUGGUAUUGGGCGUCGCCGGGGAGUCUCCCCGGCGUGCCUCAAAGCCAUCGGCGGUGGUGCCUUUCUCUAAGCGUGGUAGAAUUUUUAUUCGCUUCUGAGUUGGGCUUCGCCUGCCGGACAAACCGGGCCCUCGCGGCCCACCUUCUCAGGUUGACCUCGGAUCAGGUAGGGAUACCCGCUGAACUUAAGCAUAUCAAUAAGCGGAGGA
RNAcentral lists this unclassified non-coding RNA (349 nucleotides) under soil metagenome. RNAcentral describes it as "partial contains 5.8S ribosomal RNA, internal transcribed spacer 2, and large subunit ribosomal RNA". The stretch from base 1 to 120 matches the Rfam family "5.8S ribosomal RNA", at positions 35 to 154 of the family's 154-position model. The record is from RNAcentral.